Molecule: ribosomal RNA, 2904 nt
Filed under: Escherichia coli
Lineage: Bacteria; Pseudomonadati; Pseudomonadota; Gammaproteobacteria; Enterobacterales; Enterobacteriaceae
Description: 23S ribosomal RNA
Rfam family: Bacterial large subunit ribosomal RNA
Source: RNAcentral
GGUUAAGCGACUAAGCGUACACGGUGGAUGCCCUGGCAGUCAGAGGCGAUGAAGGACGUGCUAAUCUGCGAUAAGCGUCGGUAAGGUGAUAUGAACCGUUAUAACCGGCGAUUUCCGAAUGGGGAAACCCAGUGUGUUUCGACACACUAUCAUUAACUGAAUCCAUAGGUUAAUGAGGCGAACCGGGGGAACUGAAACAUCUAAGUACCCCGAGGAAAAGAAAUCAACCGAGAUUCCCCCAGUAGCGGCGAGCGAACGGGGAGCAGCCCAGAGCCUGAAUCAGUGUGUGUGUUAGUGGAAGCGUCUGGAAAGGCGCGCGAUACAGGGUGACAGCCCCGUACACAAAAAUGCACAUGCUGUGAGCUCGAUGAGUAGGGCGGGACACGUGGUAUCCUGUCUGAAUAUGGGGGGACCAUCCUCCAAGGCUAAAUACUCCUGACUGACCGAUAGUGAACCAGUACCGUGAGGGAAAGGCGAAAAGAACCCCGGCGAGGGGAGUGAAAAAGAACCUGAAACCGUGUACGUACAAGCAGUGGGAGCACGCUUAGGCGUGUGACUGCGUACCUUUUGUAUAAUGGGUCAGCGACUUAUAUUCUGUAGCAAGGUUAACCGAAUAGGGGAGCCGAAGGGAAACCGAGUCUUAACUGGGCGUUAAGUUGCAGGGUAUAGACCCGAAACCCGGUGAUCUAGCCAUGGGCAGGUUGAAGGUUGGGUAACACUAACUGGAGGACCGAACCGACUAAUGUUGAAAAAUUAGCGGAUGACUUGUGGCUGGGGGUGAAAGGCCAAUCAAACCGGGAGAUAGCUGGUUCUCCCCGAAAGCUAUUUAGGUAGCGCCUCGUGAAUUCAUCUCCGGGGGUAGAGCACUGUUUCGGCAAGGGGGUCAUCCCGACUUACCAACCCGAUGCAAACUGCGAAUACCGGAGAAUGUUAUCACGGGAGACACACGGCGGGUGCUAACGUCCGUCGUGAAGAGGGAAACAACCCAGACCGCCAGCUAAGGUCCCAAAGUCAUGGUUAAGUGGGAAACGAUGUGGGAAGGCCCAGACAGCCAGGAUGUUGGCUUAGAAGCAGCCAUCAUUUAAAGAAAGCGUAAUAGCUCACUGGUCGAGUCGGCCUGCGCGGAAGAUGUAACGGGGCUAAACCAUGCACCGAAGCUGCGGCAGCGACGCUUAUGCGUUGUUGGGUAGGGGAGCGUUCUGUAAGCCUGUGAAGGUGUGCUGUGAGGCAUGCUGGAGGUAUCAGAAGUGCGAAUGCUGACAUAAGUAACGAUAAAGCGGGUGAAAAGCCCGCUCGCCGGAAGACCAAGGGUUCCUGUCCAACGUUAAUCGGGGCAGGGUGAGUCGACCCCUAAGGCGAGGCCGAAAGGCGUAGUCGAUGGGAAACAGGUUAAUAUUCCUGUACUUGGUGUUACUGCGAAGGGGGGACGGAGAAGGCUAUGUUGGCCGGGCGACGGUUGUCCCGGUUUAAGCGUGUAGGCUGGUUUUCCAGGCAAAUCCGGAAAAUCAAGGCUGAGGCGUGAUGACGAGGCACUACGGUGCUGAAGCAACAAAUGCCCUGCUUCCAGGAAAAGCCUCUAAGCAUCAGGUAACAUCAAAUCGUACCCCAAACCGACACAGGUGGUCAGGUAGAGAAUACCAAGGCGCUUGAGAGAACUCGGGUGAAGGAACUAGGCAAAAUGGUGCCGUAACUUCGGGAGAAGGCACGCUGAUAUGUAGGUGAAGUCCCUUGCGGAUGGAGCUGAAAUCAGUCGAAGAUACCAGCUGGCUGCAACUGUUUAUUAAAAACACAGCACUGUGCAAACACGAAAGUGGACGUAUACGGUGUGACGCCUGCCCGGUGCCGGAAGGUUAAUUGAUGGGGUCAGCGCAAGCGAAGCUCUUGAUCGAAGCCCCGGUAAACGGCGGCCGUAACUAUAACGGUCCUAAGGUAGCGAAAUUCCUUGUCGGGUAAGUUCCGACCUGCACGAAUGGCGUAAUGAUGGCCAGGCUGUCUCCACCCGAGACUCAGUGAAAUUGAACUCGCUGUGAAGAUGCAGUGUACCCGCGGCAAGACGGAAAGACCCCGUGAACCUUUACUAUAGCUUGACACUGAACAUUGAGCCUUGAUGUGUAGGAUAGGUGGGAGGCUUUGAAGUGUGGACGCCAGUCUGCAUGGAGCCGACCUUGAAAUACCACCCUUUAAUGUUUGAUGUUCUAACGUUGACCCGUAAUCCGGGUUGCGGACAGUGUCUGGUGGGUAGUUUGACUGGGGCGGUCUCCUCCUAAAGAGUAACGGAGGAGCACGAAGGUUGGCUAAUCCUGGUCGGACAUCAGGAGGUUAGUGCAAUGGCAUAAGCCAGCUUGACUGCGAGCGUGACGGCGCGAGCAGGUGCGAAAGCAGGUCAUAGUGAUCCGGUGGUUCUGAAUGGAAGGGCCAUCGCUCAACGGAUAAAAGGUACUCCGGGGAUAACAGGCUGAUACCGCCCAAGAGUUCAUAUCGACGGCGGUGUUUGGCACCUCGAUGUCGGCUCAUCACAUCCUGGGGCUGAAGUAGGUCCCAAGGGUAUGGCUGUUCGCCAUUUAAAGUGGUACGCGAGCUGGGUUUAGAACGUCGUGAGACAGUUCGGUCCCUAUCUGCCGUGGGCGCUGGAGAACUGAGGGGGGCUGCUCCUAGUACGAGAGGACCGGAGUGGACGCAUCACUGGUGUUCGGGUUGUCAUGCCAAUGGCACUGCCCGGUAGCUAAAUGCGGAAGAGAUAAGUGCUGAAAGCAUCUAAGCACGAAACUUGCCCCGAGAUGAGUUCUCCCUGACCCUUUAAGGGUCCUGAAGGAACGUUGAAGACGACGACGUUGAUAGGCCGGGUGUGUAAGCGCAGCGAUGCGUUGAGCUAACCGGUACUAAUGAACCGUGAGGCUUAACCUU